AACUUAGUAUCAGAGCCUAAGGUUCAAUAGAGUCCUAGGAAGUCUGAAAGCCGCAUCUAGUAGAGUCUUGUACAUGGGUGUGUUGCGCACUACAUUUAUGUGCAGGAGGCUAUAAGAUGUUUUAGGAACAAUUUUGCUUCUUUCAGUAUUCAUGUCGUGCUAGUGAGCAUAAUUUCAUUCUAAUCUCUCAGUCUAAUCCAUUUCUUCCUUUCUUCUACAGAACAUGCCUCCU
This 232-nucleotide long non-coding RNA is filed under the name Capsicum annuum. RNAcentral's name for it is "long non-coding RNA (CANN_LNC013681)". Lineage: Eukaryota; Viridiplantae; Streptophyta; Magnoliopsida; Solanales; Solanaceae. The record is from RNAcentral.